This 208-nucleotide ribosomal RNA is filed under the name Pantoea agglomerans. RNAcentral describes it as "partial 16S ribosomal RNA". It matches the Rfam family "Bacterial small subunit ribosomal RNA", at positions 1 to 218 of the family's 1533-position model. The record is from RNAcentral. RNAcentral also lists the same sequence under 1 other name. Lineage: Bacteria; Pseudomonadati; Pseudomonadota; Gammaproteobacteria; Enterobacterales; Erwiniaceae.
AAAUUGAAGAGUUUGAUCAUGGCUCAGAUUGAACGCUGGCGGCAGGCCUAACACAUGCAAGUCGGACGGUAGCACAGAGAGCUUGCUCUUGGGUGACGAGUGGCGGACGGGUGAGUAAUGUCUGGGGAUCUGCCCGAUAGAGGGGGAUAACCACUGGAAACGGUGGCUAAUACCGCAUAACGUCGCAAGACCAAAGAGGGGGACCUUC